CAGUCAAAAUGACUGUGAUGUG
RNAcentral lists this microRNA (22 nucleotides) under Blattella germanica (German cockroach). Its description in RNAcentral is "Bge-Mir-2-P2b_5p (mature (co-guide))". Lineage: Eukaryota; Metazoa; Arthropoda; Insecta; Blattodea; Blattellidae. The record is from RNAcentral.